AACGAGUGGCGGACGGGUGAGUAACACGUGGGUAACCUGCCCUUAAGUGGGGGAUAACAUUUGGAAACAGAUGCUAAUACCGCAUAAAUCCAAGAACCGCAUGGUUCUUGGCUGAAAGAUGGCGUAAGCUAUCGCUUUUGGAUGGACCCGCGGCGUAUUAGCUAGUUGGUGAGGUAACGGCUCACCAAGGCAAUGAUACGUAGCCGAACUGAGAGGUUGAUCGGCCACAUUGGGACUGAGACACGGCCCAAACUCCUACGGGAGGCAGCAGUAGGGAAUCUUCCACAAUGGACGCAAGUCUGAUGGAGCAACGCCGCGUGAGUGAAGAAGGCUUUCGGGUCGUAAAACUCUGUUGUUGGAGAAGAAUGGUCCGGCAGAGUAACUGUUGUCGGCGUGACGGUAUCCAAC
Molecule: ribosomal RNA, 408 nt
Filed under: Lacticaseibacillus rhamnosus
Lineage: Bacteria; Bacillati; Bacillota; Bacilli; Lactobacillales; Lactobacillaceae
Description: bacterial SSU rRNA
Rfam family: Bacterial small subunit ribosomal RNA
Source: RNAcentral